UACGUAGGGGGCUAGCGUUGUCCGGAAUCAUUGGGCGUAAAGAGCGUGUAGGCGGCCCGGUAAGUCCGCUGUGAAAGUCGGGGGCUCAACCCUCGAAUGCCGGUGGAUACUGUCGAGCUAGAGUGCGGAAGAGGCGAGUGGAAUUCCUGGUGUAGCGGUGAAAUGCGCAGAUAUCAGGAGGAACACCAAUUGCGAAGGCAGCUCGCUGGGACGUAACUGACGCUGAGACGCGAAAGCGUGGGGAGCAAACAGG
This 253-nucleotide ribosomal RNA is filed under the name uncultured bacterium. RNAcentral describes it as "partial 16S ribosomal RNA". It matches the Rfam family "Bacterial small subunit ribosomal RNA", at positions 524 to 776 of the family's 1533-position model. The record is from RNAcentral.